This 77-nucleotide transfer RNA is filed under the name Scinaia undulata. Its description in RNAcentral is "tRNA-Val". It matches the Rfam family "tRNA". Rfam says of the family: Transfer RNA (tRNA) molecules are approximately 80 nucleotides in length. The record is from RNAcentral. Lineage: Eukaryota; Rhodophyta; Florideophyceae; Nemaliales; Scinaiaceae.
UGGACACAUAACUCAGUUAGGUAGAGUAUUGCGUUGACAUCGCAAAAGUCGCUGGUUCGAAUCCAGUUGUGUCCAAC